AGGCGUGUAGCUCAACUGGCAGAGCAACGGUCUCCAAAACCGUAGGUUGCGGGUUCGAUUCCUGCCACGCCUG
RNAcentral lists this transfer RNA (73 nucleotides) under Candidatus Eiseniibacteriota bacterium. RNAcentral describes it as "tRNA-Trp". It matches the Rfam family "tRNA". From Rfam's summary of the family: Transfer RNA (tRNA) molecules are approximately 80 nucleotides in length. Their secondary structure includes four short double-helical elements and three loops (D, anti-codon, and T loops). Lineage: Bacteria; Candidatus Eiseniibacteriota. The record is from RNAcentral.